AUUGAACGCUGGCGGCGUGCUUAACACAUGCAAGUCGAUCGGUAACGCGGGGGCAACCCUGGCGACGAGAGGCGGACGGGUGAGGAACGCUUGGGAAUCUGCCUAUCAGCGGGGGACAACCCGGGGAAACCCGGGCUAAUACCGCAUACGCUCUACGGAGGAAAGCCGGGGACCGCAAGGCCUGGCACUGAUAGAUGAGCCCAAGUCGGAUUAGCUAGUUGGCGGGGUAACGGCCCACCAAGGCGACGAUCCGUAGCUGGUCUGAGAGGACGAUCAGCCACACCGGAACUGAGACACGGUCCGGACACCUACGGGUGGCAG
This 321-nucleotide ribosomal RNA is filed under the name uncultured Pseudomonadota bacterium. RNAcentral's name for it is "bacterial SSU rRNA". It matches the Rfam family "Bacterial small subunit ribosomal RNA", at positions 29 to 351 of the family's 1533-position model. The record is from RNAcentral. Lineage: Bacteria; Pseudomonadati; Pseudomonadota.